GAAUGGGAGGGCAAAUCUUGCUUCAACAUCUAUUGCUCCACUGAUCUCCAUGACUGAUUUGGCUGGUCUGGAUACUAAGCAGUGUCCCUUUCCUUCUUCUUCACUUCAUGUGCAUCCCUCAUGGGUCUGCAUGCUUGAUGGAAGAGGACAACCAUUCCAGAUAAAAAAAUAUCAUUCAUUUGUAAAGGGAGUUAAAUAAAUCAUUAUUUUUAUCCUCAAUUUUUGA
RNAcentral lists this small nuclear RNA (226 nucleotides) under Salvator merianae (Argentine black and white tegu). Its description in RNAcentral is "7SK RNA (ENSSMRG00000020204.1)". The stretch from base 1 to 199 matches the Rfam family "7SK RNA". Rfam says of the family: 7SK was discovered as an abundant small nuclear RNA in the mid-70s but a possible function has only recently been suggested. Lineage: Eukaryota; Metazoa; Chordata; Lepidosauria; Squamata; Teiidae. The record is from RNAcentral.